This 70-nucleotide transfer RNA is filed under the name unidentified. Its description in RNAcentral is "Prolabeops melanhypopterus tRNA-Gln". It matches the Rfam family "tRNA". From Rfam's summary of the family: Transfer RNA (tRNA) molecules are approximately 80 nucleotides in length. Their secondary structure includes four short double-helical elements and three loops (D, anti-codon, and T loops). Further hydrogen bonds mediate the characteristic L-shaped molecular structure. tRNAs have two regions of fundamental functional importance: the anti-codon, which is responsible for specific mRNA codon recognition, and the 3' end, to which the tRNAs corresponding amino acid is attached (by aminoacyl-tRNA synthetases). tRNAs cope with the degeneracy of the genetic code in two manners: having more than one tRNA (with a specific anti-codon) for a particular amino acid; and 'wobble' base-pairing, i.e. permitting non-standard base-pairing at the 3rd anti-codon position. The record is from RNAcentral.
UAAAAAGUAGUGUAAUGGAAGCACCUUGAGUUUUGAUCUCUUGAGUAGGGGUUCAAUUCCCUUCUUUUUA